CUCAGGAUGAACGCUGGCGGCGUGCCUAAUACAUGCAAGUCGAGCGAACGGACGAGAAGCUUGCUUCUCUGAUGUUAGCGGCGGACGGGUGAGUAACACGUGGAUAACCUACCUAUAAGACUGGGAUAACUUCGGGAAACCGGAGCUAAUACCGGAUAAUAUUUUGAACCGCAUGGUUCAAAAGUGAAAGACGGUCUUGCUGUCACUUAUAGAUGGAUCCGCGCUGCAUUAGCUAGUUGGUAAGGUAACGGCUUACCAAGGCAACGAUGCAUAGCCGACCUGAGA
RNAcentral lists this ribosomal RNA (285 nucleotides) under Staphylococcus aureus. RNAcentral's name for it is "partial 16S ribosomal RNA". It matches the Rfam family "Bacterial small subunit ribosomal RNA", at positions 23 to 297 of the family's 1533-position model. Lineage: Bacteria; Bacillati; Bacillota; Bacilli; Caryophanales; Staphylococcaceae. The record is from RNAcentral.